Molecule: long non-coding RNA, 247 nt
Organism: Suricata suricatta (meerkat)
Lineage: Eukaryota; Metazoa; Chordata; Mammalia; Carnivora; Herpestidae
Exons: 4
Source: RefSeq, a predicted model, not a curated record
ACUCGAGGGAGGAUGAGGGGCACAACGGAGGAAGCGGCGCCCGACCAGAUAUCCGAGCUGCAAGCCCCUGAACCGCAGCCUCCACAGAGGAGAUCCCGACCCUGUAGGCCUAGAACAUCUCCUCAGAUGAAGAUUAUAUGACCUCACUCUGCAUUGAGUUGAAAGAAGAAACCAGAAUGUUGGGGUAUGUCGUAUCAGGAGUUUUUGCAAUAGGAGCAGAGAAGACACAUUCUCCAAAAUUGGUAAG